RNAcentral lists this long non-coding RNA (860 nucleotides) under Ananas comosus (pineapple). Its description in RNAcentral is "long non-coding RNA (ACOM_LNC022237)". Lineage: Eukaryota; Viridiplantae; Streptophyta; Magnoliopsida; Poales; Bromeliaceae. The record is from RNAcentral.
UUGGAAGCCUGAGACAGUGAUGAGGGAGUCUUACCCAGACUUGUUUGAUUCUUCAAGUUGAGGUAUGUGCUAAGUUUCGAGGACGAAACUUUUUGUAGUGGGGGAGAAUGUAGUAUCCUUAUAUAUAUAUAUAUAUAUAUAUAUAUAUAUAUAUAUAUAUAUAUAUAUAUAUAUAUAUAUAUAUAUAUAUAUAUAUAUAUAUAUAUAUAUAUAUAUAUAUAAUGCCACGUGCCCCCAUGCAUGUAUUUCAUGCUUAUCUAAUUAGGGGGUUGUACAUGCCUCCUUAAUUAAAAUUUCCUCCCUCUCUGUCUCUGGAGCCAUACGCGAGGAGGAGGAGCUUGGGUGGAGCGUUCGUCGCCGACGUCGCAUCGCCAAGCCGUUUGAGCGCACGUUUGUCGCCGUAGCGUCGCGUGGAGGCCGGGCAAGGGUGCGUUUUCGCCGUCCUCGACGUCGCACCGGCGCUGGAUUCGCUGUCGAUGUGGGUACCUAACUUUCCUCCUUGGAUUACUUGAAUGCAUGAUUUUGAGCUCGCGUGCUGAUUUUAUUGAUUUUCAGCGUCGACCGUCAGUGUUUCGGCUCGUACUCUGCGUAGGAACGUCGGAUUUCGACGGGACUUGGUUCGUUGGAUUCAGGACGUCGAGAGGAAUCCACGAAGCCCUUAUUUGCUGGAUUGUGCCGAGGUAGUUCCAGCAGUAUAGUGAUUCAAUCAAGCUAAAAAGCCUGAUUGAGCUCGACAGAGAUACGCUGCAUACUCGGUUGGGUAGCUCCCACGAGUGCCACUCCGAAGAUGGGCGCUGUGCUUUCGCGUUGGUGUCGCUCAUGCCGGUUGGACUUGCUCUCCACGGACUAGUAGUGUGGAG